This is a long non-coding RNA of Seriola aureovittata, 3367 nucleotides long. RefSeq lists it as uncharacterized. The record is from RefSeq and is a predicted model, not a curated record. The transcript has 3 exons. NCBI's taxonomy places the organism in Eukaryota, Metazoa, Chordata, Actinopteri, Carangiformes, Carangidae.
AAUAGCUUAUAUUUCAAGAAUUAUUAAAAUUAGGCAAUCUUGCUUCUGAAAUUGGAACCAAAAUAGCUUUUAUGUACACAGGAGGAAGUUUAAAGAGGCAAUCUAUUUGUUUGGACUGAAGCCUGAUUCACUAUAAAGGCGAACAUCUUCAAUCUCACGCUCCUUCAUCUUCUGCCUAAUACACACAAGUAUCCUUUCAUAAAUAAGCUCAGGCGUGGGUCAUUAAUAACCGGAGAAAGUCAUUACAUCUCUUCCGUAUGCUGAAUAAUUGAGCUGCUGGUUGCCUUGUGCGCUCACUGUAAAUAUGCUCAUAAGCUCAAUUUUGGCUGGCCGUGCAUCGAGCGAGGACACAUCAGUCUAAUCAGGCUCCAGCUCCUCCUCCUCCUCCUCUUCCUCUUCCUCUUCCUCCUGCUGCUGCUGCAGAGCGACGACGCCACAACCUUCAUCCUCGCACUUUUGGCUCGGGGACAUCACAACCUGAACAAACGGUAGUUAAUUGGAUUAGUGGGCCGGAUUCUGUGCUCUUAACGCCGUCCUCGCACAGACAGGAGUCGCACACCUUUGAUCUCCGAAGAGGCAAACACAGCCUGUUAACACGGCUGAACAAAUCAGAGGGCAGAGCAGCUACAAGCGCAGGUGUUCAGUUGUGUUGAGAUGUGGUGACUGAUGCGCACCAGUGACCCCUGUUGCCCUGCGGAUGGGGAGCGUCGUCGUCCUGGAAGAAACCACUCCCAUCAGGAUUGGAAGAGUUUCAUCACAGGAUCAAGGUACACUUUGAAUUCACCGCCCACACUGUUUGCAGUGAUUGUGAGCACUGACACCAUCUGGCAUUAAGUGAAGAAGUCUGAGAAACAUGGCUUCUGCCAAGGACAACCUGGGGCAAGUGCAUUAUGGUUGAAGAUAGGUUUACAGUGUUUAAUAGAUCAGCACAGUUCCAGGAAUCUGACCGUCCACCUGAGGCCGCUGACGAGGGUCAAACAAGUCAGCGGAGAGAAAUGUUGAGGUUUAAUCAACAAGCAGUGAAGUGUUGAAGGGUAACAAGAAAAAUUCGUGCCAUGAGCAAAUGUGUUUGUGGCGGGGAAAAAAAUGAGGUGGUAGCCAUGUUUGUGAUUUCCAUUUUUACUACAGUCCCCUCUCUAAUCCAACUGCCAAGUCAUUUUCUGUUGAUGGUUCACUUUAAUGUCAAAACUCUUCGUCUGCAGGCUUGAAAAAUUUGCAUGCUAGGUAUCGGUUAUUCCCCCAAGUCACAAUCCUCAUAAAACUCGUUGCCUCCCCUCCCUUUGCCCCCUGCGCAGGUGACAAGCUAAAAUGAGAGAUAGCUCCAUUUGCUUCCUAUAGCUAAUUGGAUUAGUGCUUAAGGCACUACAAUAAUGGCUGAAUUUAGAGAGGCAGGCGGAGAGAAUGGGGGAGUGGGGAGCGGAGUGGUAGAGCCAAUUUUCCAGUGAAAUGAGCUUUGCUCCAGGUGAAGAGAAAACUCCUGCAGAGAAAUAGAGAAGCUCUGUGUUGGGAGAUUUUAUGCUACCAGACGCAGUAAUGUGUCACAGAAUUUACAUUCAGUGCAUGACGAGAAGAGCACAUAGUUGUAAAAGUCAUGUUUAUACCGUUGUCACAAUCCCAGCAAAUUAAUUACACGUUGUAAUAGGAGAUGAUUGUGUCCCUUUUAUAUCAUGGCCAUGGAUAAUACUUGCUUCUGAUUAGCUGGAGGGUGUGCAUCAAUUUUAGAUAACGAUGCAGCUAUGACAAACCACCUUUUAUUGCUGUUAGAAAUUUAUAUUCAAAGGUACAUUUUAAGGCUUUUUGUAAACACCAAACUUGUUCAUAGUCAGUUUCUUGCCAAAACUCUUUGGUGUUUUUCCUUAAGGCCUAACAAACAAGCUAAAUGCAUUUUGUUCCUCAUAAUGCAAAGCCAAGCAUUUGAAUUGUUUUCAUUCUCUCUUCUACCACUAACUUGAUGAAUCAUUGAAACAGUGCCACCAACUGCUGCCUCCAACAGCAUUGCGUAACCAUAACCUCCACAGUCAGUAUAUAUGAACAUCAUGGAUUACCUUUAUUAUCUAAAGGUGUAUGUCUGAGUUUUUUGUGACUAUGCUUUUUUAAUACAAAUGAGUGAUAAAAUAUUAUUUUUAUGUUACAAUUAUGUUGGGGGGGGGGUAUGCAUGUUUGAUGCUGUCUUCCACAGUGCCAUUUUUGAUGAUACCACUGGAGGGUGCCAAAGUGAGCAAUUUUCAAAUCCUACUGCUGGCUUUUAAUAUUUGACAAAAAAUAUUGUUUUUCAGUGCAUCCUGUGGUGAAAAUAUCUUUCUUAAAGCUGAGUUCAGUCAUCAUUAUUUCUGUUCAAAUGCUUCCAAAAUCUUCCUGCACCCUGGCACCCUUAGCAGUAACCAGGGCAAAGUGAUGUUGAUAUGAUGUGUGUUUAAAUUUGAUAAGACAUGAUUAAGAAAAACCUUAACAAGCAUAUAGAACUUUAAGAAACAUGUUGUUUUAAUAAAAUUAUAUUUUACUAUGAGUGUUUCAUGAAACUUCUAUCUAUCAUAUAAAGAAAGGAUGUAUAUAUGUCAUAAUAAUAUAUCCUCUUAUAGGUAACAUAUAUGGUAACAUCACUCUUGAUACAGGGGCAUGUAUAUCAUCAAAACGUCAUUAUAUAAUAUUAAAUAAAAACGUCAUAGUAAAGUAAGGCAUAACAACGUGAUAAAAAACAUAGUAUGGUAAGGCAUAAAAAUGUCAUUGUUACAUUCUCCCCCUCAUAGGUGAAUGUAGUUGUGUGUUGUUGUGCAGGCCUCACCCCUGGAUCCUCCCUCCUUAUUGGUGGAACUGCAGCUGAUUAGUCACCUGGGCUAUAUAAAGGACUGAGGGGCUGCAUGUCACCCUCUCUCCGCCAUGAUACCUGUUUCCUGCCUGCCUACCUGUUUGUGUGAUUUGUGAAUGCACGUUCUGUGUCCUGCAGUACUUUUUGUUUGAAAAAUUUGUUUAACUCUGUAAGUAAGAAGAAACCAAGAAACCUGUAGGGGAGGGCUGCCAUUUUGUUUUAUUUCAGUUUGUUUUUUUCUCCUGUUUUAUGAGAUUGUCAGGGAGGUCAGAAUUGUAAACUUUUCUUUUGUUAGUUUCAUAUUCGUGUUUUUUUUGUUGUUGUUCUUAGUAGGAUCAACCGGCUUGUUAUUUUGGCCUUGGCUCUCCCUGACAUUACACUGUGCUUAAGGUUGGCAAUAAAGCUUUGAAAUCCUGGACCUUGUGACCAACUUCUUGGAGUAAUGAGGCAUAAAAAACUUCUUUGUAUAGUAAGGCAUAAAAAUAUAAAAAAACAUUGUCAUACUAUAGUAAGACAUGAAAAUGUAAAAAAAACGCCAUAGUAUAGUAAGACAUAAAAACA